UAAGCGGGCCGCGGCUACACCUGCGAGGCCGGGACAUCCGCGGCUGGGGCUGCGGCGCGCGCAGGCAACACGGGGCUCCCAGGUGCUCAGCCAGGUGCGCCUUGAUAAGGCCGGGCUGGGCUGUGGACUGGCCCUGCAGCGGCACGCCGCGGUCGAGAAGGCGUCCACGUUUUCCUCCUGGAAGUCCUCGUUUAGUGGAGUCAGAGGAGAAAAGAAAGUCACCGUUGUAUGCCCGACGUAGAAGCCACUCAUCCUGGGAGCACCCCGCGUUCUGGAGCUCUAGGAAGCCAGUAACUUAUGUCAGUUGCCUGGGUGUGGAGGGUGACCCCUAAACCUCAGACGCUUGCCUCAGAGUCACCCCGUGGAGCGUGGGGACAGAUCCUCUGCUGCCUUAUCAUGCACUGCAGAGCCUACUUCUUGCUGGAGAAAGACUUCCUGGAGUUGAAGGAGAACAAUUAUCCGGGUAUUGCUGCCUUUCCUGUAAGUGAAGAUCUGUUGGAAUGGGAAGCUGAAAUUGAAGGCCUGCAGAAUACCAUUUGGCACGGAUUACCCUUCCAACUAACGAUAAAUUUUACACCGGAGUACAAUUUUGUCCCUCCAACUGUGAAAUUUAGAACAAUUCCUUUUCAUCCAAAUGUAGACCUAUAUACUGGCCGGCCCUGUAUAGACUUUUUGGACAAUCCUGAUAAGUGGAGUACAAGCUAUACAUUGAGCAGCAUCCUACUUACCCUCCAGGUCAUGCUCUCUAACCCAGUGCUAGAAAACCCAGUGAAUUUGGAAGCGGCCCAAAUUCUGAUUAAAAAUGAACAUAUGUACAGCCUGAUAGUUCUAAGACUUUUCGGCCAGCCAGUACAAUUGAAAGAUGACAACCCUGAGUUACAUAAAGACCCAGAUAAAUUUAUCAGAUCAAUUAAAGUAGUCUCAUUUGACGAUUACUACAAGACAUGGUCUGGAAUAGCCACGUCAAAGCCCACGGACUAUUACAGAACUCCAUGUAAGAUGACCUGCCUGAUUCUGACGAGAAAACCAAGACCAAGAGAAGAAUGGCAAAGAAAAAGUUUGGCAGAGAACAAAUCAGCACAUGUGGUUGUGGGCAACAGCACAUUAAUGACGGAAGAUGAUCCUCAUAAGGAAAUGUUCAUCUUUGGGGAAGAGAAUUCCUUCAGACCAGUGUGCCCUGGAACCGUGAGUGCAGGCUUCCUGUGUGUGCUUGCUGUCAUCGAAACAGUCCUACCAGCCUGAAGCGUCCUGGGAUGCUCACUUUCACCCUAGGAGACCUUCAUUCUUUGAGCUUUGAGCCAGCAGCACCCCGCCUCCAAGAUGCAUCAGAUGCAAAAAGCAAUGUUGUCUAAGUCUGACGCACUGGCUCUCAGGCUGGACCGCUCCUCUGAACCACCAGCAGAGCCUGUAAAAAUUCCCACCUCAGCCCCAACCCAUCAGGAUCUCUGGGAGCAGGACCAGGCGGGAGUAGUUUGUGAAGCUCCCCAGGUGGUUGCAGUGUGCAGCCGAGGUUAGAAGGGCUCUGGCGGGCAGAGCGUGACGUCCACGGUUAGAGACUCCUCCGCCCUCGACUAGUUUUGCGCCUACAGUUAAGAGAAUUUAGUGUUUGAAGAUCAAAAUUUCAUUGCAAAGUAUUAUAAAUGGAAGAAAAUGGAGCUAAAACAUCCUAAAGAAUGGAGUUUAAAUUGACUUCUGAAACAAAUUUCCUUCAAGCCAAAGUAGAGAAAAGCUUUUGCAUUAGAGCCUUUCCUGCUUUCAGAAUAAAUUAUAGGCAGUAGAAACUCUUUUAUUAAGUGGAAUUUCAAGGAGUACAAGCACAGUUUUUUCUUGAUGGUGCAUUUGAAGUUUCGUUUAAAGAAACCUACUUAGAAGGUUAAUUUUGCUUUGAUGUGACUUCUUUUUUUAUUCCCUUUAACAGAACUGCUUUGUAUGUCUGAUCAUUGAUUGCUUGUGUAAUGCCAGGCGAGCAUCCCACAGAACCCCCAAAUUUAGAAAAAGUUGGACCAUGUCACUUUCAACUAAUCCAGCCUCUUCUACAUCUGGCUGAAAUAGUCGUGAGUUGUUUGAGUGCUAGAACAUUUUCCCAAAUACAUUAUUUUGAAGUUAUAGGUCAAAUUAUCAUGUGCAUGGUUGACCCCAUCAGAAUAAAACUCUCAUACCUUAUGCCAUCUGGUGGUUGAUAAGAAUAUAUUUAGAUCAGAUGAUAUUUGCUUCUUUUAAAUCUUGCAGUUGGUUAGUCAAAAAACACUAUUUAAAUAAAAUUUUUAAAAUUACUACAUUUAUCUGCAUAACUUUAUGGCGACAUAAAUAUUUGAGUAUGCAAAAGUCUAAAGUAUGGUGGAAUCAGCUUCUUUUCAGGUAAUUAUUAAAAGUCUCAUGUUCAUCCAAAUACGUGAGGUAUAAUAAAGUGGUCAAUUCAAUAGUGACUCAAGUAGAAAAGUUUGAGGAUCUAGGCAAGUGAGUCGUUGGUCUAGAUGUGCAUGCAAUAGAAUACCAUUAUGCAUCUCUCUAUUUUUAAUAUUUGAAAAUGGUUUUCUCGCACUGAAAUUUCCUAUUUAAAAUAAACAAACAGAAAAUGCAAAUGGAGAACCUCGCCUCUGCAUAGCGUUAGGGAGAGACCUGUUUCUGCUGCUUCCUACCCCUCCUCCCACUGUUCCUCCCCGCCCCUUAUCAAUCAAGACCUGGUUCUUCAGCCACACCAGUUCUUCUUUCUCCCCAUUGUUUGGGGACAGAAGAUCUCUGCUGCACUUUGUGCCUCCUGCCUGGGAGAUUGCCACAGCAUCUCUGCUGGUGGUCCAGAGUGAGGAUUGGUCUGACUUAAAAGGUGGAAUGCGGAGUGUUCAAGCACAGGGCUGCUGGAGCCAGACUGCCUGCAUGUGAGUCCUGGCUCUGCCCGGCACCUACUCUGUGACGUUGGGCGAGUUGUCUGACAUCUCUGUGCCUCCAUAAGAACCAUACUUACCUCUCAAGGAGAUCGUGAGGAUUAAAUAAUUAGUACAUGUAGAGCACUUCAAAAGGGGUCAUGUGCACAGUGAGUACUCCUAAGGUGUGCUACUAUUCAUGCUUUUUCUGCUGUGGCCUGACGUCAGUUUUCAGAUGGGAAAUCUUUCUUUGGAAGAAAAACAGCUCGGGGAGACACAGGGCAUUGGAGUCGGAUGGAUCCUGAGGGGCUCUUCCCCACGCUGAGCAUGCUCCUUCCUGUUGAAUGGAGACGAUGCUGACCUUCAGAGUUGUUCUGCAUCUGAUCUCUUGAAUGAGCUCAGACAUAUAAAACCAUGUAGUGUUGACAUGUGGGCAUUCG
Molecule: non-coding RNA, 3301 nt
Organism: Equus caballus (horse)
Lineage: Eukaryota; Metazoa; Chordata; Mammalia; Perissodactyla; Equidae
Source: RefSeq, a predicted model, not a curated record